This 869-nucleotide ribosomal RNA is filed under the name uncultured archaeon. Its description in RNAcentral is "bacterial SSU rRNA". It matches the Rfam family "Archaeal small subunit ribosomal RNA", at positions 37 to 913 of the family's 1478-position model. The record is from RNAcentral.
AAUGAUCUAAGCCAUGCGAGUCAUUGUAGCAAUACAAGGCAGACGGCUCAGUAACGCGUAGUCAAUCUACCCUAUGGACGGGAAUAACCUCGGGAAACUGAGAAUAAUGCCCGAUAGAACAUUAUACCUGGAACGGUUUAUGUUUCAAAUGAUUUAUCGCCGUAGGAUGGGACUGCGGCCUAUCAGUUUGUUGGUGAGGUAAUGGCCCACCAAGACUAUUACAGGUACGGGCUCUGAGAGGAGUAGCCCGGAGAUGGGUACUGAGACACGGACCCAGGCCCUAUGGGGCGCAGCAGGCGAGAAAACUUUGCAAUGUGCGAAAGCACGACAAGGUUAAUCCGAGUGGUUUCUGCUAAAGAAACCUUUUGCUAGUCCUAGAAACACUAGUGAAUAAGGGGUGGGCAAGUUCUGGUGUCAGCCGCCGCGGUAAAACCAGCACCUCAAGUGGUCAGGAUGAUUAUUGGGCCUAAAGCAUCCGUAGCCCGUUUUGUAAGUUUUCGGUUAAAUCCAUACGCUCAACGUAUGGGCUGCCGGGAAUACUGCAUAACUAGGAAGUGGGAGAGGUAGACGGUACUCGGUAGGAAGGGGUAAAAUCCUUUGAUCUAUUGAUGACCACCUGUGGCGAAGGCGGUCUACCAGAACACGUUCGACGGUGAGGGAUGAAAGCUGGGGGAGCAAACCGGAUUAGAUACCCGGGUAGUCCCAGCUGUAAACUAUGCAAACUCAGUGAUGCAUUGGCUUGUGGCCAAUGCAGUGCUGCAGGGAAGCCGUUAAGUUUGCCGCCUGGGAAGUACGUACGCAAGUAUGAAACUUAAAGGAAUUGGCGGGGGAGCACCACAAGGGGUGAAGCCUGCGGUUCAAUUGGAGUC